This 169-nucleotide unclassified non-coding RNA is filed under the name soil metagenome. RNAcentral describes it as "partial internal transcribed spacer 1". The record is from RNAcentral.
GCGAGUAAGACCCUGCCCUAGUGGCCUCGGUCAGUCCCAUCAUAUUACACCUUUAUUCGUGAACCUCGUGGUUCACGCUGGGACGAUGAAAGCUUUGGCGACUAGCCGUCCGUCGGUUCCGCUCUUUAUACCCUUAUGUGAAGUCAAUGGAAAUUAUGAUAAUCUAAUA